This 29-nucleotide non-coding RNA is filed under the name Rattus norvegicus (Norway rat). The record is from RNAcentral. Lineage: Eukaryota; Metazoa; Chordata; Mammalia; Rodentia; Muridae.
UGAUGAUGUAGGAUAGUGUAGUGACCAAG